This 483-nucleotide ribosomal RNA is filed under the name uncultured bacterium. RNAcentral describes it as "bacterial SSU rRNA". It matches the Rfam family "Bacterial small subunit ribosomal RNA", at positions 30 to 507 of the family's 1533-position model. The record is from RNAcentral.
AUUGAACGCUGGCGGAAUGCUUUACACAUGCAAGUCGAACGGCAGCACGGGGCAACCUGGUGGCGAGUGGCGAACGGGUGAGUAAUACAUCGGAACGUGCCCAAGUCGUGGGGGAUAACGUAGCGAAAGUUACGCUAAUACCGCAUACGAUCUACGGAUGAAAGCGGGGGAUCGCAAGACCUCGCGCGAAUGGAGCGGCCGAUGUCAGAUUAGGUAGUUGGUGGGGUAAAGGCUCACCAAGCCAACGAUCUGUAGCUGGUCUGAGAGGACGACCAGCCACACUGGAACUGAGACACGGUCCAGACUCCUACGGGAGGCAGCAGUGGGGAAUUUUGGACAAUGGGCGCAAGCCUGAUCCAGCCAUUCCGCGUGCAGGAUGAAGGCCUUCGGGUUGUAAACUGCUUUUGUACGGAACGAAACGGUCUGCCCUAAUACGGCGGGCUAAUGACGGUACCGUAAGAAUAAGCACCGGCUAACUACGUG